GGCCCGUUAGUCUAGUGGUUAUGACGCCUCUCUUUCACAGAGGAGAACACCAGUUCGAACCUGGUACGGGCUA
This 73-nucleotide transfer RNA is filed under the name Armatimonadota bacterium. Its description in RNAcentral is "tRNA-Glu". It matches the Rfam family "tRNA". From Rfam's summary of the family: Transfer RNA (tRNA) molecules are approximately 80 nucleotides in length. Their secondary structure includes four short double-helical elements and three loops (D, anti-codon, and T loops). The record is from RNAcentral. Lineage: Bacteria; Bacillati; Armatimonadota.